Molecule: non-coding RNA, 1537 nt
Organism: Phasianus colchicus (ring-necked pheasant)
Lineage: Eukaryota; Metazoa; Chordata; Aves; Galliformes; Phasianidae
Source: RefSeq, a predicted model, not a curated record
GGUGAGUUCAGCUCUUCUUUGUGUAUACGACUAUUGGGGUACCUGCGAGUAUUGCUACGAACCUGGCAGAGUGAUUUGCUUCUCUGUUUCUCCUCUGAGAAACACAACUGAAAGUAGAAGCAUGUAAAAAGCCAGGUACUCCUAGCCACUCUUGAUGUCACUGCCCACACACUGGAGCUUGUUCACGUUGCCCAGUGGUUUAAGAUGCAUAACAAUUAAAAGCCAUACUUAACUGCCCUAAAUGAAGAUACCAGCAAUGCUGUCAUGUCACUUCCAAAGUCUGAAAUAAAGAAACAAGCUACAAAUAAAUCCUACCUCAAUACUACUUUAUUUCAAAGGAAUUCACUGCAUCAUUAGAAGAGCUUCAACAUGCAUACAUAUAUUCUGCACUACUUGAACAACUUCACCUUAAUAAAUACUUGUGAACUAUUACAAGAAGCAUUACUUAUAGGCUGUUUUUAAACAGUAUAAAAACCUCCUCCACUAGAUGGCUCUGACAGUAUGUACAUCAAAGCUGUUUGAACACUUACAUAUUUACAUAUGUACACCUGUAAGUAAUAAAGGCAGCUGAUAUUGACAUAUUCAUAUACUGAGGAAUCAGGCAAAAAUAAAGAUGAUUUUGAAAUGAAGUCAAUACAUAUGUGCACAUGUAUACAUUCAACAAAAUAUUUGCAUCUUUUUAGUCCAAAAUUACAAUAAAAAAGCAAAACAUACGCCUUUGCAUCCCAGAUGCAAAUGCACAGUAAACAUUUUAAAAAAUUUAAGCUGCACCUGUCCUUCCCACAUGACCAGAAGGAGUGGACCCAGGGUGGAGCUACGCCAGACUCAUAUAAGAACUAGACACUGAAGGGAGAGCAUCUUUUGAGCCUUGGCUGCUUCCUGAGAGGCGGUGCUGUAUAGCCAGAGCUUCCCUUCACCAGCAGGGUGAUUUCAACUUUUUUUUUCUGCAUGUGACUAUUGGUGUACCAGUGGGUUCUUUUCCUAGUUAUCACUAAGAAUCUGUCAGAAGCAAUUUUGCUUCUUUGUGGGCAGAACAAAUAGCAACUUCAAAACUCUUCCAGUAGCCAUGUUUCUAUUAUUGAUAACUUAAAUUGCUAGGGUCUGGGUCUAUUUGUUCUUGUUUUCUGAUGUUUGGAUAAGUCUGCAAAACUGGUAUGGGAAAAAACCACAAGAUUGAUACUCUGAGUUGCAGCUACUUUAUGAACUUAAUAAGAUAUCUUAACCUUACUUCAUUUGCGUUCUUACUUCAUUUGUAUUCUACCUUCUACCCACAGAGGUGUUCAUUACUGCAAGCUCUAUAGGCAACUGAUUCAAUCUUACUUCAUCUAAAAAACCUACACAUUGUGUAAAAUGGAUGAUCUACAUAUGUAGAUUUUUAAUAAUAUAAAUUCUUUAAGUAAGGAAGCUUUGCAUAUGCAUGUGUUUUCCUUUUAAGGAAAGGCUGGUGAAGAAUAAAUCAAAUACUUCUAUUUAACAGGUUUUCACUGCUUCUCUAAUCCUAAAUAAUGCCUUGAGAUUAAAAAAAAAAAAAAAACUU